UACGUAGGUGGCAAGCGUUGUCCGGAUUUACUGGGCGUAAAGGGCGUGCAGGCGGUCUGUUAAGUGCAGGGUGAAAGCUCCCGGCUCAACUGGGAGAGGUCCUUGCAUACUGGCGGACUUGAGGGGGGUAGAGGAAAGUGGAAUUCCCGGUGUAGUGGUGAUAUGCGUAGAUAUCGGGAGGAACACCUGUGGCGAAGGCGGCUCUCUGGGACGGUACUGACGCUGAGACGCGAAAGCGUGGGGAGCGAACAGG
RNAcentral lists this ribosomal RNA (253 nucleotides) under uncultured bacterium. RNAcentral's name for it is "partial 16S ribosomal RNA". It matches the Rfam family "Bacterial small subunit ribosomal RNA", at positions 524 to 776 of the family's 1533-position model. The record is from RNAcentral.